Molecule: small nucleolar RNA, 128 nt
Filed under: Tetraodon nigroviridis (spotted green pufferfish)
Lineage: Eukaryota; Metazoa; Chordata; Actinopteri; Tetraodontiformes; Tetraodontidae
Description: Small nucleolar RNA SNORA27 (ENSTNIG00000020547.1)
Source: RNAcentral
GGCCCCACCUUCACUUUGCCACCAGGGCUGUUGAUGUCGUGAGUGGUCAUUCGUGUGGGGAAAAGCAUUUCAUCCUCGAACACCCCAGUCAAACCCGUUUGUUCUGGGUCUGUCCCGAGGAAACAGCA